Anolis sagrei ordinatus is the source of this 326-nucleotide non-coding RNA. NCBI's taxonomy places the organism in Eukaryota, Metazoa, Chordata, Lepidosauria, Squamata, Anolidae. The record is from RefSeq and is a predicted model, not a curated record.
AGGCGACCAUAUCUGAAUCAGAGGCGUCAGUCUGAAUCUGAUGAAUGAAAUGAUGCCUCUCUGGGCUUGAGGUCCCCCAACAGAAAUUGCAUUCCUCUUGCAAGGACAGGAAAGAUCCACCAUAAUCAGAGUAAGCCUUUUUAUUCUGAAAGCUAUCAAGAAAAGAGCAGAUUUCCUGAAAGAAGAACCAGGAAAAUAAGAUUCUGACUGUAAAUAGAAGAUCAGCUGCUGUCCUUUCCUUUUCGCCUUGUCUUUUACCCAUGUUGUCUUUUGAAAUGGUCAUAUGACUGGUCAAAUAAAUAAAUAUUAUCACUUGAAUGUCUAUA